This 2746-nucleotide ribosomal RNA is filed under the name Escherichia coli. RNAcentral's name for it is "partial 23S ribosomal RNA". It matches the Rfam family "Bacterial large subunit ribosomal RNA". Lineage: Bacteria; Pseudomonadati; Pseudomonadota; Gammaproteobacteria; Enterobacterales; Enterobacteriaceae. The record is from RNAcentral.
GGUUAAGCGACUAAGCGUACACGGUGGAUGCCCUGGCAGUCAGAGGCGAUGAAGGACGUGCUAAUCUGCGAUAAGCGUCGGUAAGGUGAUAUGAACCGUUAUAACCGGCGAUUUCCGAAUGGGGAAACCCAGUGUGUUUCGACACACUAUCAUUAACUGAAUCCAUAGGUUAAUGAGGCGAACCGGGGGAACUGAAACAUCUAAGUACCCCGAGGAAAAGAAAUCAACCGAGAUUCCCCCAGUAGCGGCGAGCGAACGGGGAGCAGCCCAGAGCCUGAAUCAGUGUGUGUGUUAGUGGAAGCGUCUGGAAAGGCGCGCGAUACAGGGUGACAGCCCCGUACACAAAAAUGCACAUACUGUGAGCUCGAUGAGUAGGGCGGGACACGUGGUAUCCUGUCUGAAUAUGGGGGGACCAUCCUCCAAGGCUAAAUACUCCUGACUGACCGAUAGUGAACCAGUACCGUGAGGGAAAGGCGAAAAGAACCCCGGCGAGGGGAGUGAAAAAGAACCUGAAACCGUGUACGUACAAGCAGUGGGAGCCUCUUAAUGGGGUGACUGCGUACCUUUUGUAUAAUGGGUCAGCGACUUAUAUUCUGUAGCAAGGUUAACCGAAUAGGGGAGCCGAAGGGAAACCGAGUCUUAACUGGGCGUUAAGUUGCAGGGUAUAGACCCGAAACCCGGUGAUCUAGCCAUGGGCAGGUUGAAGGUUGGGUAACACUAACUGGAGGACCGAACCGACUAAUGUUGAAAAAUUAGCGGAUGACUUGUGGCUGGGGGUGAAAGGCCAAUCAAACCGGGAGAUAGCUGGUUCUCCCCGAAAGCUAUUUAGGUAGCGCCUCGUGAAUUCAUCUCCGGGGGUAGAGCACUGUUUCGGCAAGGGGGUCAUCCCGACUUACCAACCCGAUGCAAACUGCGAAUACCGGAGAAUGUUAUCACGGGAGACACACGGCGGGUGCUAACGUCCGUCGUGAAGAGGGAAACAACCCAGACCGCCAGCUAAGGUCCCAAAGUCAUGGUUAAGUGGGAAACGAUGUGGGAAGGCCCAGACAGCCAGGAUGUUGGCUUAGAAGCAGCCAUCAUUUAAAGAAAGCGUAAUAGCUCACUGGUCGAGUCGGCCUGCGCGGAAGAUGUAACGGGGCUAAACCAUGCACCGAAGCUGCGGCAGCGACACUAUGUGUUGUUGGGUAGGGGAGCGUUCUGUAAGCCUGUGAAGGUGUACUGUGAGGUAUGCUGGAGGUAUCAGAAGUGCGAAUGCUGACAUAAGUAACGAUAAAGCGGGUGAAAAGCCCGCUCGCCGGAAGACCAAGGGUUCCUGUCCAACGUUAAUCGGGGCAGGGUGAGUCGACCCCUAAGGCGAGGCCGAAAGGCGUAGUCGAUGGGAAACAGGUUAAUAUUCCUGUACUUGGUGUUACUGCGAAGGGGGGACGGAGAAGGCUAUGUUGGCCGGGCGACGGUUGUCCCGGUUUAAGCGUGUAGGCUGGUUUUCCAGGCAAAUCCGGAAAAUCAAGGCUGAGGCGUGAUGACGAGGCACUACGGUGCUGAAGCAACAAAUGCCCUGCUUCCAGGAAAAGCCUCUAAGCAUCAGGUAACAUCAAAUCGUACCCCAAACCGACACAGGUGGUCAGGUAGAGAAUACCAAGGCGCUUGAGAGAACUCGGGUGAAGGAACUAGGCAAAAUGGUGCCGUAACUUCGGGAGAAGGCACGCUGAUAUGUAGGUGAAGUCCCUCGCGGAUGGAGCUGAAAUCAGUCGAAGAUACCAGCUGGCUGCAACUGUUUAUUAAAAACACAGCACUGUGCAAACACGAAAGUGGACGUAUACGGUGUGACGCCUGCCCGGUGCCGGAAGGUUAAUUGAUGGGGUUAGCGGUAACGCGAAGCUCUUGAUCGAAGCCCCGGUAAACGGCGGCCGUAACUAUAACGGUCCUAAGGUAGCGAAAUUCCUUGUCGGGUAAGUUCCGACCUGCACGAAUGGCGUAAUGAUGGCCAGGCUGUCUCCACCCGAGACUCAGUGAAAUUGAACUCGCUGUGAAGAUGCAGUGUACCCGCGGCAAGACGGAAAGACCCCGUGAACCUUUACUAUAGCUUGACACUGAACAUUGAGCCUUGAUGUGUAGGAUAGGUGGGAGGCUUUGAAGUGUGGACGCCAGUCUGCAUGGAGCCGNNCGGGGUUGCGGACAGUGUCUGGUGGGUAGUUUGACUGGGGCGGUCUCCUCCUAAAGAGUAACGGAGGAGCACGAAGGUUGGCUAAUCCUGGUCGGACAUCAGGAGGUUAGUGCAAUGGCAUAAGCCAGCUUGACUGCGAGCGUGACGGCGCGAGCAGGUGCGAAAGCAGGUCAUAGUGAUCCGGUGGUUCUGAAUGGAAGGGCCAUCGCUCAACGGAUAAAAGGUACUCCGGGGAUAACAGGCUGAUACCGCCCAAGAGUUCAUAUCGACGGCGGUGUUUGGCACCUCGAUGUCGGCUCAUCACAUCCUGGGGCUGAAGUAGGUCCCAAGGGUAUGGCUGUUCGCCAUUUAAAGUGGUACGCGAGCUGGGUUUAGAACGUCGUGAGACAGUUCGGUCCCUAUCUGCCGUGGGCGCUGGAGAACUGAGGGGGGCUGCUCCUAGUACGAGAGGACCGGAGUGGACGCAUCACUGGUGUUCGGGUUGUCAUGCCAAUGGCACUGCCCGGUAGCUAAAUGCGGAAGAGAUAAGUGCUGAAAGCAUCUAAGCACGAAACUUGCCCCGAGAUGAGUUCUCCCUGACUC